RNAcentral lists this ribosomal RNA (492 nucleotides) under uncultured bacterium. Its description in RNAcentral is "partial 16S ribosomal RNA". It matches the Rfam family "Bacterial small subunit ribosomal RNA", at positions 29 to 507 of the family's 1533-position model. The record is from RNAcentral.
AGUGAACGCUGGCGGUAGGCCUAACACAUGCAAGUCGAACGGCAGCACAGUAAGAGCUUGCUCUUACGGGUGGCGAGUGGCGGACGGGUGAGGAAUACAUCGGAAUCUACUUUUUCGUGGGGGAUAACGUAGGGAAACUUACGCUACUACCGCAUACGACCUACGGGUGAAAGCAGGGGAUCUUCGGACCUUGCGCGAUUGAAUGAGCCGAGGUCGGAUUAGCUAGUUGGCGGGGUAAAGGCCCACCAAGGCGACGAUCCGUAGCUGGUCUGAGAGGAUGAUCAGCCACACUGGAACUGAGACACGGUCCAGACUCCUACGGGAGGCAGCAGUGGGGAAUAUUGGACAAUGGGCGCAAGCCUGAUCCAGCCAUACCGCGUGGGUGAAGAAGGCCUUCGGGUUGUAAAGCCCUUUUGUUGGGAAAGAAAAGCAGCAGGUUAAUACCCCGCUGUUCUGACGGUACCCAAAGAAUAAGCACCGGCUAACUUCGUG